This 253-nucleotide ribosomal RNA is filed under the name uncultured bacterium. RNAcentral describes it as "partial 16S ribosomal RNA". It matches the Rfam family "Bacterial small subunit ribosomal RNA", at positions 524 to 776 of the family's 1533-position model. The record is from RNAcentral.
UACGUAGGGGGCAAGCGUUGUCCGGAUUUACUGGGCGUAAAGAGCGUGUAGGCGGCCAAGCAGGUCCGUUGUGAAAACUGGAGGCUUAACCUCCAGACGUCGACGGAAACCGUAUGGCUAGAGUCCGGAAGAGGAGAGUGGAAUUCCUGGUGUAGCGGUGAAAUGCGCAGAUAUCGGGAGGAACACCAGUGGCGAAGGCGGCUUCCUGGCCUGUUCUUGACGCUGAGGCGCGAAAGCUAGGGGAGCAAACGGG